GACGAACGCUGGCGGCGUGCUUAACACAUGCAAGUCGAACGGAAAGGCCCUGCUUUUGUGGGGUGCUCGAGUGGCGAACGGGUGAGUAACACGUGAGUAACCUGCCCUUGACUUUGGGAUAACUUCAGGAAACUGGGGCUAAUACCGGAUAGGAGCUCCUGCUGCAUGGUGGGGGUUGGAAAGUUUCGGCGGUUGGGGAUGGACUCGCGGCUUAUCAGCUUGUUGGUGGGGUAGUGGCUUACCAAGGCUUUGACGGGUAGCCGGCCUGAGAGGGUGACCGGCCACAUUGGGACUGAGAUACGGCCCAGACUCCUACGGGAGGCAGCAGUGGGGAAUAUUGCACAAUGGGCGGAAGCCUGAUGCAGCAACGCCGCGUGCGGGAUGACGGCCUUCGGGUUGUAAACCGCUUUCGCCUGUGACGAAGCGUGAGUGACGGUAAUGGGUAAAGAAGCACCGGCUAACUACGUGCCAGCAGCCGCGGUGAUACGUAGGGUGCGAGCGUUGUCCGGAUUUAUUGGGCGUAAAGGGCUCGUAGGUGGUUGAUCGCGUCGGAAGUGUAAUCUUGGGGCUUAACCCUGAGCGUGCUUUCGAUACGGGUUGACUUGAGGAAGGUAGGGGAGAAUGGAAUUCCUGGUGGAGCGGUGGAAUGCGCAGAUAUCAGGAGGAACACCAGUGGCGAAGGCGGUUCUCUGGGCCUUUCCUGACGCUGAGGAGCGAAAGCGUGGGGAGCGAACAGGCUUAGAUACCCUGGUAGUCCACGCUGUAAACGGUGGGUACUAGGUGUGGGGUCCAUUCCACGGGUUCCGUGCCGUAGCUAACGCUUUAAGUACCCCGCCUGGGGAGUACGGCCGCAAGGCUAAAACUCAAAGGAAUUGACGGGGCCCCGCACAAGCGGCGGAGCAUGCGGAUUAAUUCGAUGCAACGCGUAGAACCUUACCUGGGUUUGACAUGGGUCGGGAGUGCUCAGAGAUGGGUGUGCCUCUUUUGGGGUCGGUUCACAGGUGGUGCAUGGCUGUCGUCAGCUCGUGUCGUGAGAUGUUGGGUUAAGUCCCGCAACGAGCGCAACCCUUGUUCACUGUUGCCAGCACGUUAUGGUGGGGACUCAGUGGAGACCGCCGGGGUCAACUCGGAGGAAGGUGGGGAUGACGUCAAGUCAUCAUGCCCCUUAUGUCCAGGGCUUCACGCAUGCUACAAUGGCUGGUACAGAGAGUGGCGAGCCUGUGAGGGUGAGCGAAUCUCGGAAAGCCGGUCUCAGUUCGGAUUGGGGUCUGCAACUCGACCUCAUGAAGUCGGAGUCGCUAGUAAUCGCAAAUCAGCAACGCUGCGGUGAAUACGUUCCCGGG
RNAcentral lists this ribosomal RNA (1343 nucleotides) under uncultured bacterium. RNAcentral's name for it is "16S ribosomal RNA". It matches the Rfam family "Bacterial small subunit ribosomal RNA", at positions 28 to 1378 of the family's 1533-position model. The record is from RNAcentral.